RNAcentral lists this ribosomal RNA (254 nucleotides) under uncultured bacterium. Its description in RNAcentral is "partial 16S ribosomal RNA". It matches the Rfam family "Bacterial small subunit ribosomal RNA", at positions 524 to 776 of the family's 1533-position model. The record is from RNAcentral.
UACGUAGGGUGCAAGCGUUGUCCGGAAUUAUUGGGCGUAAAGAGCUCGUAGGUGCCCUGUCGCGUCGGCUGUGAAAACUCGGGGCUCAACUCCGAGCUUGCAGUCGAUACGGGCAGGCUAGAGUUCGGCAGGGGAGACUGGAAUUCCUGGUGUAGCGGUGAAAUGCGCAGAUAUCAAGGAGGAACACCGGUGGCGAAGGCGGGUCUCUGGGCCGAUACUGACACUGAGGAGCGAAAGCGUGGGGAGCGAACAGG